CCCAGUGCGGUGAUGAGAGCUCCGAGCUGGAAGGCUGACGUCUGUGACUCCUGCUCUCAAAGUAAACGCCCUGACGCACUCCUG
This is a small nucleolar RNA of Ochotona princeps (American pika), 84 nucleotides long. NCBI's taxonomy places the organism in Eukaryota, Metazoa, Chordata, Mammalia, Lagomorpha, Ochotonidae. The record is from Ensembl.